This 70-nucleotide transfer RNA is filed under the name Papilio machaon (common yellow swallowtail). It matches the Rfam family "tRNA". Rfam says of the family: Transfer RNA (tRNA) molecules are approximately 80 nucleotides in length. Their secondary structure includes four short double-helical elements and three loops (D, anti-codon, and T loops). The record is from Rfam by way of RNAcentral. Lineage: Eukaryota; Metazoa; Arthropoda; Insecta; Lepidoptera; Papilionidae.
GCGUCGGUGGCUCAGAGGUUAAGCUCUUGACUUGCAAUCUGCAAGUCAUGGGUUCGAAUCCCGUCAUGUA